UACGUAGGGGGCGAGCGUUAUCCGGAUUCAUUGGGCGUAAAGCGCGCGUAGGCGGUCUUUUAAGCGGGACCUCUAAUCUCAGGGCUCAACCUUGAGCCGGGUUCCGAACUAAAAGACUCGAGUGUGGUAGGGGAGAUCGGAAUUCCCGGUGUAGCGGUGGAAUGCGCAGAUAUCGGGAAGAACACCGAUGGCGAAGGCAGAUCUCUGGGCCAUUACUGACGCUGAGGCGCGAAAGCUAGGGGAGCAAACAGG
Molecule: ribosomal RNA, 252 nt
Filed under: uncultured bacterium
Lineage: Bacteria
Description: partial 16S ribosomal RNA
Rfam family: Bacterial small subunit ribosomal RNA
Source: RNAcentral